GGGUGACGAGUGGCGGACGGGUGAGUAAUGUCUGGGAAACUGCCUGAUGGAGGAUAACUACUGGAAACGGUAGCUAAUACCGCAUAACGUCGCAAGACCAAAGAGGGGGACCUUCGGGCCUCUUGCCAUCAGAUGUGCCCAGAUGGGAUUAGCUAGUAGGUGGGGUAACCUCACCUAGGCGACGAUCCCUAGCUGGUCUGAGAGGAUGACCAGCCACACUGGAACUGAGACACGGUCCAGACUCCUACGGGAGGCAGCAGUGGGGAAUAUUGCACAAUCCCCGCAAGCCUGAUGCAGCCAUGCCGCGUGUAUGAAGAACCCCUUCGGGUUGUAAAGUACUUUCAGCGGGGAGGAAGGUGWUGAGGUUAAUAACCUCRKCAAUUGACGUUACCCGCAGAAGAAGCACCGGCUAACUCCGUGCCAGCAGCCGCGGUAAUACGGAGGGUGCAAGCGUUAAUC
RNAcentral lists this ribosomal RNA (459 nucleotides) under bacterium enrichment culture clone 2A. Its description in RNAcentral is "bacterial SSU rRNA". It matches the Rfam family "Bacterial small subunit ribosomal RNA", at positions 86 to 546 of the family's 1533-position model. The record is from RNAcentral.